AGGUGAAAAGAACCCCGGGAGGGGAGUGAAAGAGAACCUGAAACCAUAUGCCUACAAGAAGUCAGAGCCCGUUAAAGGGUGAUGGCGUGCCUUUUGUAGAAUGAACCGGCGAGUUACUGUAUGGAGCGAGGUUAAGCAGGAUAUGCGGAGCCGAAGCGAAAGCGAGUCUUAAGAGGGCGAAAGUUGCAUGCAGUAGACCCGAAACCGGGUGAUCUAGCCAUGACCAGGUUGAAGUUGGGGUAAAACCCGAUGGAGGACCGAACCGACCCCCGUUGAAACGUUGGCGGAUGAGUUGUGGCUAGGGGUGAAAUUCCAAUCGAACCCGGAGAUAGCUGGUUCUCCCCGAAAUAGCUUUAGGGCUAGCGUCGAGGUAAGAGUUGCGUGAAGGUAGAGCACUGAAUAUGUGAUGGCCCCAUCUCGGGGUACUGAGCAUAAUCAAACUGCGAAUGUCACGGAAACAUACUCGGCAGUCAGACAGCGGGUGAUAAGGUCCGUUGUCAAGAGGGAAACAGCCCAGACCAUCAGCUAAGGUCCCAAAAUGUAUGCUAAGUGGAAAAGGAUGUGGAGAUGUACAGACAACUAGGAGGUUGGCUCAGAAGCAGCCAUCCUUUAAAGAGUGCGUAACAGCUCACUAGUCGAAUGACUCUGCGCCGAUAAUUUACCGGGGCUAAGCAUACUACCGAAGCUAUGGAUCCUACGGGAUGGUAGGGGAGCGUUCCAUGAACGGAGAAGUACGACCGGAAGGACGUGUGGAGAUCAUGGAAGAGAGAAUGCCGGUGUGAGUAGCGGAACGUGGGUGAGAAUCCCACGCACCGAAAACCCAAGGAUUCCAGAGGAAGGUUCGUCCGCUCUGGGUAAGUCGGGACCUAAGGCGAGGCCGAAAGGCGUAGUCGAUGGACAACAGGUAGAGAUUCCUGUACUUGUAUAUAUGUGAAGGAAUGACGGAGAGAGAAAGCUGAAGCCAGCGGCUGGAAGAGCUGGUGCAAGCGAGAUAGCGGGAUGGCAGGCAAAUCCGCCAUCCACAACGCGAAGACGUGAUGCGAACGGAAAGCUACGGCGAGUACGGAAGUCAGUGGACGAGCUUCCAAGAAAAGUUUCUAACAUAAGUAUAUGCAACCCGUACCGAAAAUGGACACACAUGGGUGAGGAGAGAAUCCUAAGGUGAGCGAGAGAACUAUAGCUAAGGAACUCUGCAAAAUGACUCCGUAACUUAGGGAGAAGGAGUGCUCAUAGAGAUAUGAGCCGCAGUGAAACGGCCCAAGCGACUGUUUACCAAAAACACAGCUCUCUGCUAAGCCGCAAGGCGAAGUAUAGGGGGUGACGCCUGCCCGGUGCUGGAAGGUUAAGGGGAGGGGUUAACGCAAGUGAAGCCCUGAACUGAAGCCCCAGUAAACGGCGGCCGUAACUAUAACGGUCCUAAGGUAGCGAAAUUCCUUGUCAGGUAAGUUCUGACCCGCACGAAAGGCGUAACGAUUUGGGCGCUGUCUCAGCUGUAGACUCGGUGAAGUCUUAGUACCUGUGAAGAUGCAGGUUACCCGCGACUAGACGGAAAGACCCCAUGGAGCUUCACUGCAGGUUGAUAUUGGGAUUUGAUGCAGCAUGUACAGGAUAGGUAGGAGGCUAGGAGAUGGAUACGCCAGUAUUCAAGGAGCCGCUGUUGGGAUACUACCCCUGUUGUAUUGGAUUUCUAACCGGACGACGUAAGCCGUUGACGGGACAGUGUCAGUCGGGCAGUUUGACUGGGGCGGUCGCCUCCCAAAGAGUAACGGAGGCGCCCAAAGAUACCCUCAGCUUGGAUGGAAACCAAGCGCAGAGUGCAAAGGCAAAAGGGUGUUUGACUGCGAGACCCACAAGUCGAGCAGGGACGAAAGUCGGGCUUAGUGAUCCGGCGGUGCUGAAUGGAAAGGCCGUCGCUCAACGGAUAAAAGCUACCCUGGGGAUAACAGGCU
Molecule: ribosomal RNA, 1949 nt
Filed under: human gut metagenome
Description: bacterial LSU rRNA
Rfam family: Bacterial large subunit ribosomal RNA
Source: RNAcentral